RNAcentral lists this ribosomal RNA (250 nucleotides) under uncultured prokaryote. RNAcentral describes it as "partial 16S ribosomal RNA". It matches the Rfam family "Bacterial small subunit ribosomal RNA", at positions 524 to 774 of the family's 1533-position model. The record is from RNAcentral.
UACGGAGGAUGCGAGCGUUAUCCGGAUUUAUUGGGUUUAAAGGGUGCGUAGGCGGCUAUGUAAGUCAGCGGUGAAAUUCAGGCGCUCAACGUCUGCCGUGCCGUUGAAACUGCGUGGCUUGAAUGCGGAUGCCGUGGGAGGAAUGUGUGGUGUAGCGGUGAAAUGCAUAGAUAUCACACAGAACACCGAUUGCGAAGGCAUCUCACGAAUCCGCUAUUGACGAGAGGCAAGAAAGUGCGGGGAUCAAACA